RNAcentral lists this ribosomal RNA (447 nucleotides) under uncultured bacterium. Its description in RNAcentral is "bacterial SSU rRNA". It matches the Rfam family "Bacterial small subunit ribosomal RNA", at positions 330 to 793 of the family's 1533-position model. The record is from RNAcentral.
UCCAGACUCCUACGGGAGGCAGCAGUGGGGGAUAUUGCACAAUGGGGGAAACCCUGAUGCAGCGACGCCGCGUGAGUGGAGAAGUAUUUCGGUAUGUAAAGCUCUAUCAGCAGGGAAGAAAAAAGACGGUACCUGACUAAGAAGCCCCGGCUAACUACGUGCCAGCAGCCGCGGUAAUACGUAGGGGGCAAGCGUUAUCCGGAUUUACUGGGUGUAAAGGGAGCGUAGACGGCAAUACAAGUCGGAAGUGAAAUACCCGGGCUCAACCUGGGAACUGCUUUGGAAACUGUAUGGCUGGAGUGCUGGAGAGGUAAGCGGAAUUCCUAGUGUAGCGGUGAAAUGCGUAGAUAUUAGGAGGAACACCAGUGGCGAAGGCGGCUUACUGGACAGUAACUGACGUUGAGGCUCGAAAGCGUGGGGAGCAAACAGGAUUAGAUACCCCCGUAA